CCUACGGGGGGCAGCAGUGGGGAAUCUUGCGCAAUGGGCGAAAGCCUGACGCAGCAACGCCGCGUGUGUGAUGAAGGUCUUCGGAUCGUAAAGCACUGUCGGGAGGGACGAAUAAGGGCCGGGUGAACAAUCCGGUCCGAUGACGGUACCUCCAAAGGAAGCACCGGCUAACUCUGUGCCAGCAGCCGCGGUAAUACAGAGGGUGCAAGCGUUGUUCGGAAUUAUUGGGCGUAAAGCGCGUGUAGGCGGUCUCGCAAGUCGGAUGUGAAAGCCCUCGGCUUAACCGAGGAAGUGCGUUCGAAACUACGAGACUUGAGUGCCGGAGAGGGUGGCGGAAUUCCCGGUGUAGAGGUGAAAUUCGUAGAUAUCGGGAGGAACACCAGUGGCGAAGGCGGCCACCUGGACGGUAACUGACGCUGAGACGCGAAAGCGUGGGGAGCAAACAGGAUUAGAUACCCCUGUAGUC
Molecule: ribosomal RNA, 466 nt
Filed under: uncultured Anaeromyxobacter sp.
Lineage: Bacteria; Pseudomonadati; Myxococcota; Myxococcia; Myxococcales; Anaeromyxobacteraceae
Description: bacterial SSU rRNA
Rfam family: Bacterial small subunit ribosomal RNA
Source: RNAcentral